GCAGCUGUAGUAUAGUGGUUAGCACGGCUCGUUGUGGAUGCCGCCCGAUUGGGCAAUUCUCGAACCGAGCAGACGGAUGUUCGAUUCCUCCCAGCUGCA
RNAcentral lists this transfer RNA (99 nucleotides) under Kalmanozyma brasiliensis GHG001. It matches the Rfam family "tRNA". From Rfam's summary of the family: Transfer RNA (tRNA) molecules are approximately 80 nucleotides in length. Their secondary structure includes four short double-helical elements and three loops (D, anti-codon, and T loops). Lineage: Eukaryota; Fungi; Basidiomycota; Ustilaginomycetes; Ustilaginales. The record is from Rfam by way of RNAcentral.